GGCGUGUUGGCUUAAUGGUAAAGUGCGGUGUUUCGGCCACCAUAAUAUAAGUUCAAAUCUUAUACACGCUU
RNAcentral lists this transfer RNA (71 nucleotides) under Drepanopeziza brunnea f. sp. 'multigermtubi'. RNAcentral's name for it is "Marssonina brunnea f. sp. 'multigermtubi' tRNA-Lys". It matches the Rfam family "tRNA". From Rfam's summary of the family: Transfer RNA (tRNA) molecules are approximately 80 nucleotides in length. Their secondary structure includes four short double-helical elements and three loops (D, anti-codon, and T loops). Further hydrogen bonds mediate the characteristic L-shaped molecular structure. tRNAs have two regions of fundamental functional importance: the anti-codon, which is responsible for specific mRNA codon recognition, and the 3' end, to which the tRNAs corresponding amino acid is attached (by aminoacyl-tRNA synthetases). tRNAs cope with the degeneracy of the genetic code in two manners: having more than one tRNA (with a specific anti-codon) for a particular amino acid; and 'wobble' base-pairing, i.e. permitting non-standard base-pairing at the 3rd anti-codon position. The record is from RNAcentral. Lineage: Eukaryota; Fungi; Ascomycota; Leotiomycetes; Helotiales; Drepanopezizaceae.